AGAUUUUAAUGAACCUAUUGAUCACUUUUUUGUAAACGUACUUGAUUUAAGCGUACCUGAGAACGAAAGAUAUAUAUUAGAAAGUCCAGAACCAGAUUUUAUACGGAUAACGCAAAAUAGCCAAAUUUCUGAUACAACAUCAUCAGGAAGAGAAUCCCCGGAAAUUAGCGCACAAAAUUCACCUCAUAUUGAUCUAUUGGAUUUAUUUGCAUUAGAGUGUAAUGUAUUCAUAUUUGCAAAUAAAAAAAAAAUUAACAAAAAGAAAAUUAAAAAUGAACAACACAUAAGUCUAAAAUGGCUCCGGAAUAUGCGAUAAAUUUUUCCAAACAA
Long non-coding RNA from Episyrphus balteatus (marmalade hoverfly), 330 nucleotides. RefSeq lists it as uncharacterized. The record is from RefSeq and is a predicted model, not a curated record. NCBI's taxonomy places the organism in Eukaryota, Metazoa, Arthropoda, Insecta, Diptera, Syrphidae. The transcript has 3 exons.